Molecule: non-coding RNA, 201 nt
Organism: Pelobates cultripes (western spadefoot toad)
Lineage: Eukaryota; Metazoa; Chordata; Amphibia; Anura; Pelobatidae
Source: the annotation of a GenBank genome assembly
CUACAUGCAGCCUUGUAUAGCAGGACACAUGACAUCUAUUUGUAGCAAGCACGGCCUGCCUGACUCCUCAUUCCUGUCUAACAUUGUUGUCUCCUGCACAAGUGUAGAUGGCUCUCUUUGGAGUAGCCUGUUAACUAAGCCUUGCUUUGUGGUUGCCCCCACCUGUCCAAUUAAUCUGCUAGGUGCAGAUGUCCUUCCCCC